RNAcentral lists this ribosomal RNA (253 nucleotides) under uncultured bacterium. RNAcentral's name for it is "partial 16S ribosomal RNA". It matches the Rfam family "Bacterial small subunit ribosomal RNA", at positions 524 to 776 of the family's 1533-position model. The record is from RNAcentral.
UACGGGGGGGGCAAGCGUUGUUCGGAAUUACUGGGCGUAAAGGGCUCGUAGGUGGCCAACUAAGUCAGACGUGAAAUCCCUCGGCUUAACCGGGGAACUGCGUCUGAUACUGGAUGGCUUGAGUUCGGGAGAGGGAUGCGGAAUUCCAGGUGUAGCGGUGAAAUGCGUAGAUAUCUGGAGGAACACCGGUGGCGAAGGCGGCUCUCUGGACCGAGACUGACGCUGAGGCGCGAAAGCGUGGGGAGCAAACAGG